UACGGGGGGGGCAAGCGUUGUUCGGAAUUACUGGGCGUAAAGGGCUCGUAGGUGGCCAACUAAGUCAGACGUGAAAUCCCUCGGCUUAACCGGGGAACUGCGUCUGAUACUGGAUGGCUUGAGUUCGGGAGAGGGAUGCAGAAUUCCAGGUGUAGCGGUGAAAUGCGUAGAUAUCUGGAAGAAUACCGGUGGCGAAGGCGGCAUCCUGGACCGACAUUGACGCUGAACGGCGAAAGCUAGGGGAGCAAACGGG
Molecule: ribosomal RNA, 253 nt
Filed under: uncultured bacterium
Lineage: Bacteria
Description: partial 16S ribosomal RNA
Rfam family: Bacterial small subunit ribosomal RNA
Source: RNAcentral